ACGCUCGACACCUACGGGGGGCAGCAGUGGGGGAAUAUUGCACAAUGGGGGAAACCCUGAUGCAGCGACGCCGCGUGGAGGAAGAAGGUCUUCGGAUUGUAAACUCCUGUUGUUGGGGAAAAAGAGGAUGGUACCCAACAAGGAAGUGACGGCUAACUACGUGUCAGCAGCCGCGGUAAUCUGAGCGGGCUGGCAAGGC
RNAcentral lists this ribosomal RNA (199 nucleotides) under uncultured bacterium. Its description in RNAcentral is "partial 16S ribosomal RNA". It matches the Rfam family "Bacterial small subunit ribosomal RNA", at positions 328 to 539 of the family's 1533-position model. The record is from RNAcentral.